CAGCACCUCAAGUGGUCAGGAUGAUUAUUGGGCCUAAAGCAUCCGUAGCCGGCGCUGUAAGUUUUCGGUUAAAUCUGUACGCUCAACGUACAGGCUGCCGGGAAUACUGCAGCGCUAGGGAGUGGGAGAGGUAGACGGUACUCGGUAGGAAGGGGUAAAAUUCUUUGAUCUAUUGAUGACCACCUGUGGCGAAGGCGGUCUACCAGAACACGUCCGACGGUGAGGGAUGAAAGCUGGGGGAGCAAACCGGAUUAGAGACCCGAGUAGUCC
Molecule: ribosomal RNA, 270 nt
Filed under: uncultured archaeon
Lineage: Archaea
Description: partial 16S ribosomal RNA
Rfam family: Archaeal small subunit ribosomal RNA
Source: RNAcentral